RNAcentral lists this transfer RNA (65 nucleotides) under Panesthia sloanei. RNAcentral describes it as "tRNA-Met". It matches the Rfam family "tRNA". Rfam says of the family: Transfer RNA (tRNA) molecules are approximately 80 nucleotides in length. Lineage: Eukaryota; Metazoa; Arthropoda; Insecta; Blattodea; Blaberidae. The record is from RNAcentral.
AGAAAAGUAAGCUAAAAUAAGCUAGUGGGUUCAUACCCCAUUAAUAGAGGUUCCUCUCUUCUCUA